This 167-nucleotide ribosomal RNA is filed under the name uncultured bacterium. RNAcentral's name for it is "partial 16S ribosomal RNA". It matches the Rfam family "Bacterial small subunit ribosomal RNA", at positions 1334 to 1500 of the family's 1533-position model. The record is from RNAcentral.
GCUAGUAAUCGCAGAUCAGAAUGCUGCGGUGAAUACGUUCCCGGGUCUUGUACACACCGCCCGUCACACCAUGGGAGCCAGGAAUGCCCGAAGCCAGUGGCCUAACCGCAAGGGAGGAGCUGUCGAAGGCAGGCCCGGUAACUGGGGUGAAGUCGUAACAAGGUAGC